RNAcentral lists this ribosomal RNA (691 nucleotides) under uncultured Vibrionaceae bacterium. RNAcentral's name for it is "bacterial SSU rRNA". It matches the Rfam family "Bacterial small subunit ribosomal RNA", at positions 1 to 671 of the family's 1533-position model. The record is from RNAcentral. Lineage: Bacteria; Pseudomonadati; Pseudomonadota; Gammaproteobacteria; Vibrionales; Vibrionaceae.
UAGAGUUUGAUCAUGGCUCAGAUUGAACGCUGGCGGCAGGCCUAACACAUGCAAGUCGAGCGGUAACAGAUUGAUAGCUUGCUAUCAAUGCUGACGAGCGGCGGACGGGUGAGUAAUGCCUGGGAAUAUACCCUGAUGUGGGGGAUAACUAUUGGAAACGAUAGCUAAUACCGCAUAAUCUCUUGUCUUUUACGAGAUGGGAGCAAAGAGGGGGACCUUCGGGCCUCUCGCGUCAGGAUUAGCCCAGGUGGGAUUAGCUAGUUGGUGGGGUAAUGGCUCACCAAGGCGACGAUCCCUAGCUGGUCUGAGAGGAUGAUCAGCCACACUGGAACUGAGACACGGUCCAGACUCCUACGGGAGGCAGCAGUGGGGAAUAUUGCACAAUGGGGGAAACCCUGAUGCAGCCAUGCCGCGUGUAUGAAGAAGGCCUUCGGGUUGUAAAGUACUUUCAGUUGUGAGGAAGGCGUUGGAGUUAAUAGCUUCAGCGCUUGACGUUAGCAACAGAAGAAGCACCGGCUAACUCCGUGCCAGCAGCCGCGGUAAUACGGAGGGUGCGAGCGUUAAUCGGAAUUACUGGGCGUAAAGCGCAUGCAGGCGGUCUGUUAAGCAAGAUGUGAAAGCCCGGGGCUCAACCUCGGAACAGCAUUUUGAACUGGCAGACUAGAGUCCUGUAGAGGGGGGUAGAAUUUCA